This 833-nucleotide long non-coding RNA is filed under the name Ananas comosus (pineapple). RNAcentral describes it as "long non-coding RNA (ACOM_LNC019998)". Lineage: Eukaryota; Viridiplantae; Streptophyta; Magnoliopsida; Poales; Bromeliaceae. The record is from RNAcentral.
UUAAAUCUUGACCCCCAGAGUAUAUCAGAUCCGCCACAAAUACAGAGAGUCCACUGUUCACACGGACAUAAUUUUUUCGGUAUUUGCACGGCGUCGUACAAGUACAAGAUACAACCACAACAUAUAAACAUCCAUAUUCAUUCACCAUUCACAUCAACAUUCAUUUCAUUACAAAUAUUCAUAAAUUCACAUCUAUUAAUUUAAAACGUUUCCUACCCGAAAACUCGUUUUGAAAUACUAGGAACCAGGAAAACCAGAAAAUUCUUUUUUAAAACAGUUUCCCACACGGAAACCUUUUUUCUUUUAAAACACGCUAUCACGAGAGGUAGAAAAUCAUUUUCAUUUCGCAAGAAUCCAUAAAUCUUUCAUUACAUUCAUGAAAUCUCAAUUAUUCAAUUAACAUGAAAUAUUGAACCAUAAUUACUUUCUACGUCACUUAGUAAAAGAAAUUGAGUUUAAGAGUUAAACCGAAGAUAUGGAUCCGAAAGCUCUAUCGAUCGCUAAGUGCGCUCCUCACGAACCGUCCCACUAGGACCCGCGACGUCACCUGAAAGGGGAGUGGGGGGUGAGAACAUGUACACAUGUCUCCCCUCCCAGUGGGUACCGCAAGCCGAUGAGGGCGAGGGAUACUCACCAGUUAAGGAGAAUAAGUAAAGGUAUGGGUAAAAGUAAUACAGUAGCGACAAUAAAUAAAGGAAUGAGUUGUAUAAAUGAAUAACUACCGCUACUGUAUGUAUACAUCAACCGGACGAUAGGUCCAAAAAUACCCAAUCUGAAACCUACCCUAUCGGUCCGUAGACCUCAGGCCCAUGCCAUUGUCACUCUACCUGCAU